This 497-nucleotide ribosomal RNA is filed under the name uncultured bacterium. RNAcentral's name for it is "partial 16S ribosomal RNA". It matches the Rfam family "Bacterial small subunit ribosomal RNA", at positions 28 to 507 of the family's 1533-position model. The record is from RNAcentral.
GACGAACGCUGGCGGCGUGCCUAAUACAUGCAAGUUGAGCGAUGAAGAUUGGUGCUUGCACCAAUUUGAAGAGCAGCGAACGGGUGAGUAACGCGUGGGGAAUCUGCCUUUGAGCGGGGGACAACAUUUGGAAACGAAUGCUAAUACCGCAUAAUAACUUUAAACAUAAGUUUUAAGUUUGAAAGAUGCAAUUGCAUCACUCAAAGAUGAUCCCGCGUUGUAUUAGCUAGUUGGUGAGGUAAAGGCUCACCAAGGCGAUGAUACAUAGCCGACCUGAGAGGGUGAGCGGCCACAUUGGGACUGAGACACGGCCCAAACUCCUACGGGAGGCAGCAGGAGGGAAUCUUCGGCAAUGGACGAAAGUCUGACCGAGCAACGCCGCGUGAGUGAAGAAGGUUUUCGGAUCGUAAAACUCUGUUGGUAGAGAAGAAAGUUGGUGAGAGUGGAAAGCUCAUCAAGUGACGGUAACUACCCAGAAAGGGACGGCUAACUACGUG